RNAcentral lists this ribosomal RNA (767 nucleotides) under Exiguobacterium sp. 'Exiguobac. M1'. Its description in RNAcentral is "bacterial SSU rRNA". It matches the Rfam family "Bacterial small subunit ribosomal RNA", at positions 37 to 777 of the family's 1533-position model. The record is from RNAcentral. Lineage: Bacteria; Bacillati; Bacillota; Bacilli; Caryophanales.
UGGCGGCGUGCCUAAUCAUGCAAGUCGAGCGCAGGAAGCUCACGGAACUCUUCGGAGGGAAGUGAAGGGAAUGAGCGGCGGACGGGUGAGUAACACGUAAGGAACCUGCCCCAAGGAUUGGGAUAACUCCGAGAAAUCGGAGCUAAUACCGAAUAGUUCUUCAGACCGCAUGGUCUGAUGAUGAAAGGCGCUCCGGCGUCACCUUGGGAUGGCCUUGCGGUGCAUUAGCUAGUUGGUGGGGUAAUGGCCCACCAAGGCGACGAUGCAUAGCCGACCUGAGAGGGUGAUCGGCCACACUGGGACUGAGACACGGCCCAGACUCCUACGGGAGGCAGCAGUAGGGAAUCUUCCACAAUGGACGAAAGUCUGAUGGAGCAACGCCGCGUGAGUGAUGAAGGUUUUCGGAUCGUAAAACUCUGUUGUAAGGGAAGAACAAGUACGAGAGGUAAUGCUCGUACCUUGACGGUACCUUGCGAGAAAGCCACGGCUAACUACGUGCCAGCAGCCGCGGUAAUACGUAGGUGGCAAGCGUUGUCCGGAAUUAUUGGGCGUAAAGCGCGCGCAGGCGGCCUUUUAAGUCUGAUGUGAAAGCCCCCGGCUCAACCGGGGAGGGUCAUUGGAAACUGGAAGGCUUGAGUACAGAAGAGAAGAGUGGAAUUCCAUGUGUAGCGGUGAAAUGCGUAGAGAUGUGGAGGAACACCAGUGGCGAAGGCGACUCUUUGGUCUGUAACUGACGCUGAGGCGCGAAAGCGUGGGGAGCAACAGGA